GCUGCACAUGCUCAGUACAAUCCUGAGAGAGCUAUCCACACCCUGAUUCACACAAGAUACAAGAUUUCCUGUAAGAGUUGAGAAUAUUUCUGAAUCUGCUCACAGGUUCGAGCGGAUCACUUCAACCUACCAUGGAGUUUGUGAACAGCAAAGAAGGAUGUAAAUGCCAAAAGGAUUGCAGUAAAUGCCAAUGUCAUUGUCAUACAAUAAUUAUCAGUCCUAAACCUAAACAAGUGAUUGUGGAGGAGAAGACAUCUGAGGCGCCUGAAAUGCCUUUGAAAGAGCGUGCCCCCUGUUAUUGCUUCCCUUGUGAUUUCGGCUCCUGUGAUUGUGGCCCCAGUGAUUCUGGUCCUGGUGAUUCUGGUUCAUGUGACUGUGGCUCCUGUGAUUGUGGAUCCUGUGAUUGUGGCUCCUGUGAUUGUGGAUCCUGUGAUUGUGGCUCCUGUGAUUGUCAGUGUAUGUUCUGACAGCGCAAGCUACAUGACUCUUACAAAAUGCAUGGAUUCGCUACAUAAGACCUUUAUUAACCCCCUGGAGCCUUGUGAGGCACUUUUUAUUAUGGAUGGAUGCACUUUAUUGGACUUCUUUUGGACUGUUGAACAGAAACUCCCGCCCACUGCCAUUAUAAAGCUUGGAAGGGUCAGGAAAUUUUUUAAUAUAACUCUGAUUGGAUUUGUCUGAAAGAAGAAAGUAAUAUACACCUAGGAUGGCAUGAGGAUCAGUGCUGGCCAGUGCAGCAGUCAAACACAUGAUCAGUGUGUCUGAGAGAGAUGAUCUGGAGCUGAUGUUAGAUACACACAUGUGUUCCCAGCAGGCCCUGGACUGGAUGAACUGCACACAUUUCCUGAAAAACCCUGGGAGGAGUGCCUCUAAUUUCCACUCUCUAUUUCACAUGUUACUGAAUCUUUCAAUAGUAAGGGAGUCAGUAUACUUAUUGUAUUUUGGUGAAAAUGAAUACUUAUCUACUACUGAGUAAGCAGAUGUAUCUUAAAAAAUAUGAUGAAGUAUCUAUUCUUAACACUGGAAGACUCAAGACUGUGCUGCUGAAGCUGAGAAGACUGGAUGGACGAGCAGCUCAGUGUUCAUUAUCUACUGAAUCUUAUCUACUCGCACAUUUACUGUAGUAAGUCUAGUCACUGAUAUACUUUAAUGGGCAAGGCUAAGAUUGGUCCAUUUAGAUGGAAAUAGGAAGAGAUCUGCUAACCGACACACCUUUAGCUCCGUGUGGAAAGAUGUAAUCUGUAUUUUAACUUUUUCAUCCUUCAUCCAUUUUGUAACCAAUCCAAGUGUAACCAUAACAAAAUGUUUUUAUUAAAGCAUUACUCACUACUAACUAGUCUUGAUUCAUCAUUAACAUUGAAGUGCUGUCGGCAAUAAUACAUUAUAGUGACUCAAUAGCUACACUCUCCCACAGAUACAGAGUUUGCUGUUCAUCCUCCCUUAUGUUUCUUAUUAAUCGUGUAUCUGAUCAAUAAAGUG
Long non-coding RNA from Carassius carassius (crucian carp), 1479 nucleotides. RefSeq lists it as uncharacterized. The transcript is spliced from 3 exons. The record is from RefSeq and is a predicted model, not a curated record. NCBI's taxonomy places the organism in Eukaryota, Metazoa, Chordata, Actinopteri, Cypriniformes, Cyprinidae.